UGUCCCAUGGUGUAAUUGGCAACACGUCAGGUUUUGGUUCUGUAAUUUAAGGUUCGAGUCCUUAUGGGACAA
RNAcentral lists this transfer RNA (72 nucleotides) under Prevotellamassilia sp. RNAcentral describes it as "tRNA-Gln". It matches the Rfam family "tRNA". From Rfam's summary of the family: Transfer RNA (tRNA) molecules are approximately 80 nucleotides in length. Their secondary structure includes four short double-helical elements and three loops (D, anti-codon, and T loops). RNAcentral also lists the same sequence under 1 other name. Lineage: Bacteria; Pseudomonadati; Bacteroidota; Bacteroidia; Bacteroidales; Prevotellaceae. The record is from RNAcentral.